Molecule: microRNA precursor, 208 nt
Organism: Oryza sativa Indica Group (long-grained rice)
Lineage: Eukaryota; Viridiplantae; Streptophyta; Magnoliopsida; Poales; Poaceae
Rfam family: MIR812 microRNA precursor family
Source: Rfam
AAAGAGACAAAUCCUAAGUUUCCGUGUCCAACAUUUAACCGUCCGUCUUAUUUGAAAAAAUUAUGAAAAAAAAUUAAAAAGACAAAUCACACAUAAAGUAUUAAUCAUAUUUUAUCAUCUAACAACAAUGAAAAUACUAAUUAUAAAAAAAUUUCAUAUAAGACGGAUAGUUAAAUGUUGGAUACGGAAACCUAGGGUUUGUCAUUUU